Long non-coding RNA from Aquila chrysaetos chrysaetos, 3046 nucleotides. NCBI's taxonomy places the organism in Eukaryota, Metazoa, Chordata, Aves, Accipitriformes, Accipitridae. The record is from Ensembl.
GAGAAGGUAAAGCCUGCAGAGUAAAGGAGCUGUAGGUUCAGUUCACAUAAUUACUCUCUGUUCCCUCUUCGGGUGGAAGUAUCUCCUAAGGGAUUGGUAUACACUCUGGCACUGCACAUAGAGUACUGUACAUCCUCAGGCGUGUGCUUCUCAUUCAUUAGAAUCACUGAAUGCAUUUCUUGACUGCAUUCUUGAUGAUCUUCCCAAUUAAGUGUAUGUUACUGAGUAAAUAGUGCAAGUAAUUUGACUGGUUUUGGCUUAUGCUGUAAUGGAAACCUUCAGGUUUGUUUUAGGAGAGACAAUUUAAUAGAAGAACGUAACACCUAGUGUCAUAGGGGAAGGGUGCUUUUUUCUGAGUCAUUUCCAAAGUGACCUAGAAAUCUGAUAAUAAAAUCUCAAUAGGCAUUAUAAUGAUAGAAAACUAAUAUGAUAUUAUGUGUAAUACUGGACAUAAUCAAAAUCAAAUAAGUAAUAAUUUGAAGAGGAAACUUCCUUUACUGGGAGGCACAUGGAAAGUGUGAUGAAAACACUGUGAAUCAAAUAGCUUUCAUAAUCAGUCCAGUAAAAAAGAUUACUAAGAUUUCUAUCUUGUACUAUAGAAACUUUCUUAACCAGCUGGACAGAUCCAUUUGUACAUUCCUCAAGCAUUCAGAAAAGAUCUAAUUUUUUCUUCAAGGUUUUCUUUUCAAGGGUAACGUUCUUCACUUUUUCUUGCAGUUCAAUAAUACUUUCAUUCUUCCUGUUAUGUUCCGUGGUAGAAGGAUGAUCUGUGUCCUAGUGAGUGUAACAGUGGAGGAAAACUAACUGUGUGAACAGAUGGAGAACCAAAAUUUAGCACACCUUCCUUAGAGUUAACUGAAGGGUAACUGGUGUGUUGAUCAAGAUCAGCUAUAACAAAUGGCAAAGAGAAUUACGAGGAAGAUCCUGAGCACGUAAGCUACUGAUAGAUGCACCAGGAGUGUUAUCAAACAUUAUGAAACAAUGAUACAAGGAUCAUCAGCUGGAGGAGAUGCUGACUUUUCAGAGGCUGAGAUCUUUCAGAGUCACUGGGACUGCUGGCAGAACCUGUUCCUGUCACCACCUCACCCAGCUUACUCUGAUCGUGGGCAAGGAAGGGGGACUCACAGCUUGGAAGAAGGUAGAAGAACUCAGCUGCUAGGGAAGUACUUCACUCUUCAUUAUACUGGCCGAGUAAAAGGGGAAUGUAUCAGCAGCACCUUACUUCUAAAGCUACACAAAUGAGAAACUGCAACCCUGAGACUUUGUAUGAAGGGACUCACCCAAGGCCACACUGCAGUUCAGCCUUUGAUAGAGGCUGGACCAAGAGCUCAAAGCAAGCCUAGCUCUUCGUAACAUAGGAGAUUCUCCUUCUGAAAGUAUCACCAUUGCUUAGUGAACUCUUUGACUUAACCCCGUUGAAGGUGAAUCAUUUGUAGAACAGCUUGUGCCUGUUUCCAGAUGAGUGCUUAAAGCCUGGGAAAAAACAAAGCAUGCUGCAGUCUAUGGCUGUAGCGGAAUCUAUGUGGAAGCCUGGAGCAAAGAAGGAAUAAAAAUUAAUGUGGGAAUCCUCUGGCAGUGUUAUGUUUUGAACACUUCCCUGUCAUUACAAUAAACAGGUAUUUUUACUUAAGAGCACUGAAUAAUUUAUUAGACAGUGAAAUAAACCUGUAGGAUAGCGCACUCUCUGCAGCUUCACCCACAUGGAUUAAGAGUCCUCCAACAGCUGGUUCUAGGAAAAAGAUCGGUAAUCAGGUGAUCUUAAUCCAGUUCCUGUUGCAGGCGGCUGUAUGUUGGGAAAAAGAGCACAGAGCAUGCCUGCACAAAGACAGAUCUUGCCUCCCAAAACUGGCGGCUACCCAGAUUGGGUGAUGACAAGUCAUGCUGGUGGGGCAGCAACUGGAACUAAGCUAGAUGACUAUAUGUCUUGGUGUGUGACAGGGCCACUGGCUAAAGUCCUGCCUGUCCCCAAUCUGCAAGCAAACCCUGCACUUCUGUUGCUGCGUUCAUUUCACAGCUAAAUAAAGAAUGCCAUACAUAGCAUUGCAUCCACUUUCAGAGAGGACACUUGGCAGUGAGUUCCUUAGCAUACAGGCUCCCAUUUUUGUUCAGCAUUUGUAUAAUCUGUAGCACAACAAAGCAUGAUGGGAGUUUCCAGGUAAUACAAGACAGUAAGCAAUAAUGGCAGUUUUAUUUUCAUAUGGAAUCGACCUUUCCCUUUCCAGACCUCCCCCAUGACACGGCAGGGAAUUGGCUUGGGUGUCGUAGCAAUUGAGCAGCACGAGGGCUCUCCAGCAAUGCGCCCUCUCUCCUCUGGCUGAAGCCACCGGUGUCCAAGCGGAGCAGCAGUACCUUCUCACGCAGUUAGGCCUCGUGGGUUUGUCUGCAGUAAAGAAUCUUUGGAAAGCAGUUGUUGUACUAUUCCUUCAGACUGACACUGUAUUCUUUUCUGCCUUAGCAGCUGGCACUUUGUUACAGAGGGAGAAUAUUUGACAGAAGAUUCCCUCUUUUAUACAAAAGAAGGAGAAAGGGUUAUUUAGGUUCCAGCUGCUCUAGUGUCAGAAGCUGCAGUGGCAGAACUUGAAGACAGUCUGAAGUAAAGCUGUAGCUUUAAGAAAUGUCAGAAGCUGGCUUGGUGCUUUCCACAUUCAGAGACUCUCAAUGGGUUGACUUUACAGAAGCCUUGCGAAUGGGAACAACAUCUAUUCCAUUCGUUCUUUCUUAAAGGCUUCUCAGUACAAGCAUCCCUGUUUUCUGCACAGUUGCAGAUUUUUGAUGGCCUUUACACAUACCACUUGGGUAAUGGGAAAACGUCUACAGAAAAGACUGCGUUCUAAAAUUUUACCAUUAUGUACUGGAUAGCAAAAGCCUAGUACUCACUUAGUCCUACGUGAUAUCGGUAUAUAAACAGAUUAGCACAUUGUUCAGUGUAAGGGGUGUUACAGUGACCUCAGAUGCUUCUAGCGAGGCUUGAAAAUGUGGAAUUCAUUUGGCUUCAGAUGGAGCUUUUUUUUAAUAAAGAUUGGAAUUCAGCAUUUCAGAGUAUAUU